GGGAAAAAAAAACCCACGCAGGGGAGAGUCCGGAAGAGGAAACCCUCCCCAACAGGACAGUUCGAGCGCUGGCCAGCGAAAAGAAGAGGCGCCUCUGGUCUUCGGGCACGCCUUCCCCAAAACCCGCAGGGCCAUGUUCCACCUCCGAAGGCACUGGGGGACUCUGGUCGCCUCCGCGUCGAGGCGCCCGCCCUGGGUAGAGGUAUGUGCAUCUUUUGCUACAGAUCCCAGACAAUAUGAUGGGACGUUCUAUGAAUUUCGUACUUAUAUCAUACAACCAGCCAAAAUGAAUGAAUUCCUGGAAAACAUUAAUAAACAUAUUCACCUUCGUACAGCUCACUCUGAAUUAGUUGGAUGUUGGAGACAAGAGUUUGGAGGUGUGAUGAAUAAAGUCUUUCAUAUUUGGAAAUAUGAUAAUUUUGCUCAUCGAGCUAAAGUUUGGGAAGCCUUAGCCAAGGAUAAAGAAUGGCAAGAAAAAUUUAUUUCCAAAAGCCUACCACUUAUAGUCCAACAGAAGAACGAAAUAACUUAUCUAGUACCAUGGUGCAAAAUAGUAAAGCCUCCUAAAGAAGGAGUAUAUGAACUUGCUACCUUUCAGAUGAAGCCUGGUGGGCCAGCUCUGUGGGGUGAACACUUUCAAAAAGCAGUGAAUACUCAUAUCCAAGUAGGCUAUUCAAAACUGAUUGGAGUUUUCCACACUGAAUAUGGAACACUUAAUAGAGUUACAGGGGAGCUACCUCAUGUGGACUCUAAAAGUGGCAUGGUGCACAAGGAAGUAGCAGCAGCACCAAGGAAAGUAAAAGUGAGACAAGCAGCUAGAUUAGACCAAGGAAAGAGGAAUUCUGUGCCAGAGGAGACUCAGUUCUGAGGGCAUUGAGGGUCUGAUUCUCAAGAUAUCUAAAAGAGAAGGGAGGAUGGCAAAUCCUUGGUUUAAAAAAAUCAGUGAUCUCAUCUUUUUUUAAAGUUCAUGUUCUUUGGUGGACUGAGACAGCAGACAGUCGAGCAGCUGGAAGACAUAGAUCCCAUGAAGACGCCCGGGUUGUGGCAGCUG
This is an RNA transcript of Phascolarctos cinereus (koala), 1051 nucleotides long. It is a transcript of the gene named nipsnap homolog 3A, with no coding region annotated. The record is from RefSeq and is a predicted model, not a curated record. NCBI's taxonomy places the organism in Eukaryota, Metazoa, Chordata, Mammalia, Diprotodontia, Phascolarctidae.